RNAcentral lists this ribosomal RNA (269 nucleotides) under uncultured prokaryote. RNAcentral's name for it is "partial 16S ribosomal RNA". It matches the Rfam family "Bacterial small subunit ribosomal RNA", at positions 524 to 792 of the family's 1533-position model. The record is from RNAcentral.
UACGGAGGGUGCAAGCGUUGUUCGGAAUUACUGGGCGUAAAGAGCGUGUAGGCGGUAUGGUAAGUCAGAUGUGAAAGCCCUGGGCUCAACCCAGGAAGUGCAUUUGAUACUGCUAUUCUUGAGUAUGGGAGAGGAGAGUGGAAUUCCCGGUGUAGAGGUGAAAUUCGUAGAUAUUGGGAGGAACAUCCGUGGCGAAGGCGACUCUCUGGACCAAUACUGACGCUGAGACGCGAAAGCGUGGGGAGCAAACAGGAUUAGAUACCCGCGUA